Non-coding RNA from Cricetulus griseus (Chinese hamster), 1169 nucleotides. Lineage: Eukaryota; Metazoa; Chordata; Mammalia; Rodentia; Cricetidae. The record is from RefSeq and is a predicted model, not a curated record.
GGCUCCUGUCACAGGAGUGCCCAGCUCUAAAGUCCCUUAGAGGGCAUGGCUGCUAACCCACUGCACCCAAACAUCAGAGACUGGGAAGCAGAGGGUUUUCUGCAAGCACAACUUACAAAGGAGGUUUUCAAUUGAGAAAUCAUUCCAGCAUCGGUAGCUCCCACAGGCUACCUCACUUCCAUCUUUCCCUGGGAAGGGUGUAGCCACACACAUCUCCAGAAGAUCCCCAUGUCUAGGGAGUCGGUAGUUGAGCGCCUAUACAGCAAUAAGAAAUAGAUUGCCCCAGUCUAACUAGCCUGAAUAAAUAGUACAGUCCAUGCCUUCAUCCUUGGCUUGAGCUAGCGACAUUUUCAGAUUCAUAAUCUUUUCAUGGGGAGAGGCUGGAGUCCUCUGCCAAUUCCAAGAGGAGGACAGCAUUCUGCAGCUCCUUUCUUAGCUUGCUCCUGAGAUAAAUAUAUGCAAUCUCUCAGAGGGAAGCCAGAGGACCUGUCUGUGCCUAAGAAGGAAGCUGAUGUUCCCUGUGUCAUCUUCUGUGACUUGCCAUAGUGAUAACUCAUAACAAGACAUCUUCCCCUGCAAAAAGGAUGCAAAACUUCUGUUUAUUUUAUCGGGAGAGCAACUGUCUGUUGCCUUCUCAGCUUGUUCCAUUGAUAAUUCUAACCAUGCCACCUCUCUUUGGAAAGAGAUCAGAAGCCUCUGCCAGCAAGAAGAGAAAGUAGCACUUCUUGAGCCUUCCCCCCAUCUCUCACUCCUGAUACAGAUAUCUACAGCCUCUGGUAAGAAGGAAGUGAAGGACCACUUCAUGGUUGCCCCUUGCUUCCUGGUUUACUACAGUGAUGACUACAGACCAGAAAGCUACAUCUACAAGAAAGAUGUGCCAUUUCUUUCCAUAAGCAGGAGAGUGGAUCCUUUCUUCACCCUAUUUCUGACUUGUUCCUGAGAUAAGCUCUGCAGUCUCUCAGUAGAAAGAGGUGAGAGGACUUUGACCCCAAGAAUGGAAGGAGUGACACUCCCACAUCCUCUUGUCCGGUUAGCUCUACAGGUAUGCAAUGAUAACAAGUAGCAGAUAUCUCUAGAAGACUUGUCCAAAGUGUGGAGUCUCAUCACCAGAAAAUAAAAAGCUAUGGAUUCCUUCCAGACUAAUACGGUUUGAUCAAGCAAGACACCCU